GACGAACGCUGGCGGCGUGCUUAACACAUGCAAGUCGAACGGAAAGGCCUGCUUUCCCUUGUGGAUUGCGGGUACUCGAGUGGCGAACGGGUGAGUAACGCGUGAGUGAUCUGCCCCCAACUUGGGUAUAAGCCUGGGAAACUGGGUCUAAUUCCCGAUAGGACUGCAGGGUGGUGCCUGUGGUGGAAAACGAUUUUCUAGUGGUUGGGGAUGAGCUCGCGGCCUAUCAGCUUGUUGGUGGGGUAAUGGCCUACCAAGGCGGCGACGGGUAGCCGGCCUGAGGGGGUGGACGGCCACAUUGGGACUGAGAUACGGCCCAGACUCCUACGGGAGGCAGCAGUGGGGAAUAUUGCACAAUGGGCGGAAGCCUGAUGCAGCGACGCCGCGUGGGGGAUGACGGCCUUCGGGUUGUAAACUCCUUUCGACCGCGAGGAAGCCACCUGGUUGGAAGGGUGGUGACGGUAGUGGUAGAAGAAGCACCGGCUAACUACGUG
Molecule: ribosomal RNA, 494 nt
Filed under: uncultured bacterium
Lineage: Bacteria
Description: partial 16S ribosomal RNA
Rfam family: Bacterial small subunit ribosomal RNA
Source: RNAcentral